This is a non-coding RNA of Pelobates cultripes (western spadefoot toad), 277 nucleotides long. Lineage: Eukaryota; Metazoa; Chordata; Amphibia; Anura; Pelobatidae. The record is from the annotation of a GenBank genome assembly.
CCCAGAACUGGCUGAACUCCCAUCAAGCCCCGGAGGAGAUCACUCUGCUCGUCAUGCUAGAGCACUUUUUCAAUGGGCUCCCCAACAACAAGGCGGCGACGCAUUCGUAUGUCAUCCAUAUUAACUUUCGAUGCCAUUUACUGCGCCUACCAUGGUGACCACUGGUAACGGGGAAUCAUGGUUCGAUUCCGGAGAGGGAGCCUGAGAAACUGCUACCACAUGCAAGGAAGGCAGUGGCGCACAAAUGACCCACUCCUGGCGCGGGAAGGUAGUGACG